AAAAAAAAAGAAAAAAAGAAAUUACUUCUAGAAUUAGUUAUAACUUCAGUAAUAUUUUUUAUAUCAGAUCUUAACUAAAAAUUAGUUUUGUAUAUUUCUCUUAUAAUAAGAUAGAUUAACUUAAGAAAAUACUUACAUUUCUAUCGGUGACUGUUUUUCAAAGCCAAUUCAGAUAUGAGUUCAAAAUAAAAAGUAUGUUAGGU
Molecule: long non-coding RNA, 203 nt
Filed under: Brassica rapa (field mustard)
Lineage: Eukaryota; Viridiplantae; Streptophyta; Magnoliopsida; Brassicales; Brassicaceae
Description: long non-coding RNA (BRAP_LNC002092)
Source: RNAcentral